Non-coding RNA from Pseudonaja textilis, 148 nucleotides. The record is from RefSeq and is a predicted model, not a curated record. NCBI's taxonomy places the organism in Eukaryota, Metazoa, Chordata, Lepidosauria, Squamata, Elapidae.
CCUCUUCACAUCAUCAGGCAUAAGAACAAAAAGCAGUGGGAAAUAUUACUAGCAUAAAAAAAAAAAGAGGGCAAUGCUAUAGCUGCCUAUUCACUUUUCAUGGCCCAAGUGAAUAUUGCCACGGUGGAGCAGUGGUUAGAAUGCAGUA